Non-coding RNA from Vicugna pacos (alpaca), 99 nucleotides. Lineage: Eukaryota; Metazoa; Chordata; Mammalia; Artiodactyla; Camelidae. The record is from RefSeq and is a predicted model, not a curated record.
CUUGUUACCAUUUCAAACCCACUGUGUGAACACCAUGGGCACUAUUCACUGAAAAAUGAUGAAAUGCUGGUUUUACUUUCCAAUUUUUAGAUCUGAAGA